CUACGGGACGCAGCAGUGAGGAAUCUUGCGCAAUGGGGGAAACCCUGACGCAGCGACGCCGCGUGGGUGAUGAAGGCCUUCGGGUCGUAAAGCCCUGUCGAGAGGGAAGAAUUGCAUUUAGGUUAAUAGCCUAAUUGUUUGACGGUACCUCCAAAGGAAGCACCGGCUAACUCCGUGCCAGCAGCCGCGGUAAUACGGAGGGUGCAAGCGUUGUUCGGAAUCACUGGGCGUAAAGGGCGUGUAGGCGGCUGAGUAAGUCAGGUGUGAAAUCCCUCGGCUCAACCGAGGAAGUGCAUUUGAUACUGCUCAUCUUGAGUACUGGAGAGGGAGAUGGAAUUCCCGGUGUAGAGGUGAAAUUCGUAGAUAUCGGGAGGAACACCAGUGGCGAAGGCGAUCUCCUGGACAGAUACUGACGCUAAGGCGCGAAAGCGUGGGGAGCAAACAGGAUUAGAUACCCUAGUAGUC
RNAcentral lists this ribosomal RNA (465 nucleotides) under uncultured bacterium. RNAcentral describes it as "partial 16S ribosomal RNA". It matches the Rfam family "Bacterial small subunit ribosomal RNA", at positions 339 to 795 of the family's 1533-position model. The record is from RNAcentral.